RNAcentral lists this small RNA (720 nucleotides) under Pan troglodytes (chimpanzee). Its description in RNAcentral is "retained intron". The record is from RNAcentral. Lineage: Eukaryota; Metazoa; Chordata; Mammalia; Primates; Hominidae.
UAUUCUGGGAGCAAAGGAAAUUGGAGUUAACAAAACCAACCCAGAAACUGCCCUCCUGGUCCUCUAUCAAGUGCAGCAGAAGGUCAUGGAACAAAUGACUUCAAGAGUGUUACUUGUUACUGAAGGGUCAGUAAGAGAUAAUGACCUUUAGGAUCUAUUUUUGCACAUCAAGGGUGGGCAAAAGCAACCCGCAAAUGGAGUCUUAAAAGGUGCCUAGGUGUCUGCUGGCCUACAAGGGUGGGAAGGUGUUCCAGGCUGUGGGCCUGGCUUGAGCAGCGGCCUGGACGUGAGACUCAGCCUGGCAUGCACCCUCGAGACCCUCUUGGCCACUUCCUGUUCCCCAGUGUGAGUUCCAGUGCCAUGAGCAGCCCUGGCCCUGGGCUGCAUCCCUCUCUCUCCCUACCCCUGCCUUUCCUCCAUCUGGUCUCCCUGCAGCCUGGAGAGUGUGUUUCCACUCAUAGCCGAGGGCCAGCGCAGUGCCACGUCACAGGCCAUGCACCAGCUCUUCGGGCUGUUUGUCACACUGAUGUUUGCCUCUGUGGGCGGGGGCCUUGGAGACCCCUGUGCCCUGUGGCACUGGGUGGCACCCUCCUCCAUGGUGGGGGGCAGAGAAGCCUCACAGAUCCUCCCCUACCACCACCAGGGCUCCUGCUGAAGCUACCCUUUCUGGACUCCCCCCCAGACUCCCAGUGCUACGAGGACCAAGUUCACUGGCAGGUG